GCGAGUUCUAAACUCCCAACCCUCGUGGACAUACCUAUGUUGCUUCGGCGGGGCGCCCUGAACGGGGCGCGGCCCUCUCGGGGGCACCCGCCGGUGGCACGCACACAAAACCUGCCUUCUGAAGAAUUCUGAGUAGGCUAUAAAUAAGUCA
RNAcentral lists this unclassified non-coding RNA (151 nucleotides) under uncultured fungus. RNAcentral describes it as "sequence contains ITS1, 5.8S rRNA gene". Lineage: Eukaryota; Fungi. The record is from RNAcentral.